This 468-nucleotide ribosomal RNA is filed under the name uncultured bacterium. Its description in RNAcentral is "partial 16S ribosomal RNA". It matches the Rfam family "Bacterial small subunit ribosomal RNA", at positions 28 to 507 of the family's 1533-position model. The record is from RNAcentral.
GACGAACGCUGGCGGCGUGCUUAACACAUGCAAGUCGAACGGAAAGGCCCUGCUUUUGUGGGGUGCUCGAGUGGCGAACGGGUGAGUAACACGUGAGUAUCCUGCCCUUGACUUUGGGAUAACUUCAGGAAACUGGGGCUAAUACCGGAUAGGAGCUCCUGCUGCAUGGUGGGGGUUGGAAAGUUUCGGCGGUUGGGGAUGGACUCGCGGCUUAUCAGCUUGUUGGUGGGGUAGUGGCUUACCAAGGCUUUGACGGGUAGCCGGGCUGAGAGGGUGACCGGCCAAAUUGGGAAUGAGAUACGGCCCAGACUCCUACGGGAGGCAGCAGUGGGGAAUAGUGCACAAUGGGCGGAAGCCUGAUGCAGCAACGCCGCGUGCGGGAUGACGGCCUUCGGGUUGUAAACCGCUUUCGCCUGUGACGAAGCGUGAGUGACGGUAAUGGGUAAAGAAGCACCGGCUAACUACGUG